RNAcentral lists this ribosomal RNA (238 nucleotides) under uncultured bacterium. RNAcentral describes it as "partial 16S ribosomal RNA". It matches the Rfam family "Bacterial small subunit ribosomal RNA", at positions 524 to 759 of the family's 1533-position model. The record is from RNAcentral.
UACGUAGGGUGCGAGCGUUGUCCGGAAUUACUGGGCGUAAAGAGCUCGUAGGUGGUUUGUCGCGUUGUCCGUGAAAACUCACAGCUCAACUGUGGGCGUGCGGGCGAUACGGGGCAGACUGGAGUACUGCAGGGGAGACUGGAAUUCCUGGUGUAGCGGUGGAAUGCGCAGAUAUCAGGAGGAACACCCGGUGGCGAAGGCGGGUCUCUGGGCAGUAACUGACGCUGGGGAGCGAAAG